UACAGAUUCAUUCUGUUCACUUAAAACAUCUCAUUCUCCUAAAAUACAAACUUUACAGAGGGAAGCACAGCACAGGAGGGCUUAAUUAUUGAGCCCCACACAUCUUUAGGAUUCAAGCAGAGCCGUGUUUACCUGCCUUUUUUUUUUUUAACCUGACCACUGGUAUCAACUUUGAUGCUUGAAGGAGGCGACUGGAUCAUCAUCUUUCUGGAUGAGAGAGAUGUGAGGGGCUUUGGUGGGUACUGUGGGUAGUAUAGCAGGCCCAGUGUGGUUGCUUGAGUUGGUAUUGUGGACAUUUUUGCUUUCUAGAUUUGUUCUUCCUACCUCAUCUUUAGGAAAGCCCCAGUGCCUUCAGUGUUUGCUUUGAUAAAUUUAGAUGAGACGUAGUGUCUUUCCUCCGUGUUCCUGGGCAGUGAUGCCACCAUGUUGCUGUUAGUGACAAGUACUUUCAAAAGGGCUUGGGUCCUCUUCCAUGUGAGAGACACAUUCAAAUGGGCAACUAAACUUCAACCCUCUCCCCCACUUACAGGAUGUAACUGUCAAGAAUAGACAAUGAUCCUCUUAGCUGGCUAAUGUCAAAUUCCCAGGUGCUGUGUAUGGUUUUUACCUGUGGUGGAAAAGGGAGGGCUCCAGGAAAGAAUUGCUGACCUGGUGGGCAUUCCAUGCUGUUACUGUACAUUUCCUAAGGAGUGGUUGGAAGUCUUGGACACUUACCCGCCAUGUAGCACAUAUAAGAUUGUGUGCAAGAAACCAAGGAACCCUGGAAGCUGUACCUCUAGGUCUGUGAUAUGCCUCUAGACAUGCUCUGAGGCUUCCAGAGGAGUGGACCCCAGCAGCCAUCACGAUGGUGGCAAAAGUCAAUGGGGACUGACACAACCCUAGACUGAAAACUCAGUUAGAGAGGUUGAGAACAGAGACCAGGGGACCACAAAAAUUAUUGAAUACAGAGAUUCAUGGAGCUGUGGCCUGAGCUUAGCUGUAAAACAGUACAGCCUGUGAUAGUCCCCGUUUACCUCUUUAUGGAUCUUAAACAACUUUUAAAUUGCUGUAGAUCAGCCCCGAAUAAACAAAUCUAAACGUGCGUGCCUAUAGUAAGAGUAGACAAGCAAUGCUACCUUGUUAAGUGUA
This 1128-nucleotide long non-coding RNA is filed under the name Mus musculus (house mouse). Its description in RNAcentral is "long non-coding RNA chr14:79977733-79978861". The record is from RNAcentral. Lineage: Eukaryota; Metazoa; Chordata; Mammalia; Rodentia; Muridae.